GUGGGGAAUCUUGCGCAAUGGGCGAAAGCCUGACGCAGCCAUGCCGCGUGGAUGAUGAAGGUCUUAGGAUUGUAAAAUCCUUUCACCAGUGAAGAUAAUGACUGUAGCCGGAGAAGAAGCCCCGGCUAACUUCGUGCCAGCAGCCGCGGUAAUACGAAGGGGGCUAGCGUUGCUCGGAUUUACUGGGCGUAAAGGGCGCGUAGGCGGACAUUUAAGUCAGGGGUGAAAUCCCGGGGCUCAACAUCGGAACUGCCUUUGAUACUGGGUGUCUUGAGUAUGAGAGAGGUGUGUGGAACUCCGAGUGUAGAGGUGAAAUUCGUAGAUAUUCGGAAGAACACCAGUGGCGAAGGCGACACACUGGCUCAUUACUGACGCUGAGGCGCGAAAGCGUGGGGAGCAAACAGGAUUAGAUACCCCAGUAGUCC
This 425-nucleotide ribosomal RNA is filed under the name uncultured bacterium. Its description in RNAcentral is "partial 16S ribosomal RNA". It matches the Rfam family "Bacterial small subunit ribosomal RNA", at positions 354 to 796 of the family's 1533-position model. The record is from RNAcentral.